This is a long non-coding RNA of Hippopotamus amphibius kiboko, 254 nucleotides long. RefSeq lists it as uncharacterized. NCBI's taxonomy places the organism in Eukaryota, Metazoa, Chordata, Mammalia, Artiodactyla, Hippopotamidae. The record is from RefSeq and is a predicted model, not a curated record. The transcript is spliced from 4 exons.
CAGAAGACCACUCACAUGAUUUCUGCUGAAGGCGAUUAACGUCAUGACUUCUGUUAUGGGCAAUUUCAGUACAAGUGUACAUGGGACAAGAAAAGGAAGGUAUGGAGUAGCCCAUCUGUGACUGGCCCCCAAUGUGAUGGUUGUCAACCUACGUUCUCAGGACACAAAAUGAGACAAACAAGGGCAACAGCUGACCCUAGAAGAGAACAGAUCAACAACCAACAGGUAGAUCUAUGUCAGAAAAAGAACACUGA